This is a non-coding RNA of Picea glauca (white spruce), 466 nucleotides long. The record is from Rfam. Lineage: Eukaryota; Viridiplantae; Streptophyta; Pinopsida; Pinales; Pinaceae.
AUGUUGUGUACUUGCAUAAUUUAAUUUUAGCUUAUGUCAUAUUUUCUCGGAGAAGAAACAAUGACGGUAUAUGAGGAAUAAGCAUCAGCUAACCCUGUGUCAGCAGCUGCGGUAAGACAAAGGAUGCAAGAGUUAUCCAGAAUGAUUGGGCAUAAAGUGUCUGUAGGUAGAUUUUCAAGUCCGUCAUCAAAUCCCAGGGCUCAACCCUAGACAAGCGGUGGAAACUAUCAAGCUAGAGUAUGAUAGGGGUAGAGGGAAUUUUCGGUGGAGCAGUGAAAUGCAUUGACAUUAGAAAGAACACCAACGAAAAAAGCACUAUGAUGGGCCAACACUGACACUCAGAGACAAAAUCUAGGGGAGAAAAUGGGAUUAUAUACCCCAUUAGUCCUAGCUGUAAACGAUGGAUACUAAGGGUUGUUCGUAUCGACCCGCGCAGUGUUGUAGCUAACGCGUUAAGUAUCUUUCU